UGGCUAAGAUCAAGUGUAGUAUCUGUUC
RNAcentral lists this non-coding RNA (28 nucleotides) under Gallus gallus (chicken). The record is from RNAcentral. Lineage: Eukaryota; Metazoa; Chordata; Aves; Galliformes; Phasianidae. RNAcentral also lists the same sequence under 6 other names.